RNAcentral lists this transfer RNA (71 nucleotides) under Marmota monax (woodchuck). RNAcentral's name for it is "tRNA.Ala". It matches the Rfam family "tRNA". Rfam says of the family: Transfer RNA (tRNA) molecules are approximately 80 nucleotides in length. The record is from RNAcentral. Lineage: Eukaryota; Metazoa; Chordata; Mammalia; Rodentia; Sciuridae.
GGGGAUGUAGCUCCAUGGUAGAGUUCUUGCCUAGCAUGCAUGAGGCCCUGGGUUUGAUCCCUAGUACUUCA